RNAcentral lists this ribosomal RNA (468 nucleotides) under uncultured bacterium. Its description in RNAcentral is "partial 16S ribosomal RNA". It matches the Rfam family "Bacterial small subunit ribosomal RNA", at positions 28 to 507 of the family's 1533-position model. The record is from RNAcentral.
GACGAACGCUGGCGGCGUGCUUAACACAUGCAAGUCGAACGGAAAGGCCCUGCUUUUGUGGGGUGCUCGAGUGGCGAACGGGUGAGUAACACGUGAGUAACCUGCCCUUGACUUUGGGAUAACUUCAGGAAACUGGGGCUAAUACCGGAUAGGAGCUCCUGCUGCAUGGUGGGGGUUGGAAAGUUUCGGCGGUUGGGGAUGGACUCGCGGCUUAUCAGCUUGUUGGUGGGGUAGUGGCUUACCAAGGCUUUGACGGGUAGCCGGCCUGAGAGGGUGACCGGCCACAUUGGGACUGAGAUACGGCCCAGACUCCUACGGGAGGAAGCAGUGGGGAAUAUUGCACAAUGGGCGGAAGCCUGAGGCAGCAACGCCGCGUGCGGGAUGACGGCCUUCGGGUUGUAAACCGCUUUCGCCUGUGACGAAGCGUGAGUGACGGUAAUGGGUAAAGAAGCACCGGCUAACUACGUG